This 244-nucleotide ribosomal RNA is filed under the name uncultured bacterium. RNAcentral describes it as "partial 16S ribosomal RNA". It matches the Rfam family "Bacterial small subunit ribosomal RNA", at positions 118 to 347 of the family's 1533-position model. The record is from RNAcentral.
UGGGUAACCUGCCUCAAAGAGGGGAAUAGCCUCCCGAAAGGGAGAUUAAUACCGCAUAAUAUGUUUAGGUCGCAUGACUUUAACAUCAAAGGAUUUUCUUUUAAGAAAUUCCACUUUGAGAUGGACCCGCGGCGCAUUAGCUAGUUGGUGAGGUAACGGCUCACCAAGGCAACGAUGCGUAGCCGACCUGAGAGGGUGAUCGGCCGCAUUGGAACUGAGACACGGUCCAGACCUCCGUAGGGAG